This 429-nucleotide ribosomal RNA is filed under the name Bacteroidota bacterium. Its description in RNAcentral is "Bacteroidetes bacterium partial 16S ribosomal RNA". It matches the Rfam family "Bacterial small subunit ribosomal RNA", at positions 355 to 776 of the family's 1533-position model. The record is from RNAcentral. Lineage: Bacteria; Pseudomonadati; Bacteroidota.
UAGGGAAUCUUCGGCAAUGGGGGGAACCCUGACCCAGCAACGCCGCGUGAGUGAAGAAGGUUUUCGGAUCGUAAAGCUCUGUUGUUAAGGAAGAACGAGUGUGAGAAUGGAAAGUUCAUACUGUGACGGUACUUAACCAGAAAGGGACGGCUAACUACGUGCCAGCAGCCGCGGUAAUACGUAGGUCCCGAGCGUUGUCCGGAUUUAUUGGGCGUAAAGCGAGCGCAGGCGGUUAGAUAAGUCUGAAGUUAAAGGCAGUGGCUCAACCAUUGUAGGCUUUGGAAACUGUUUAACUUGAGUGCAGAAGGGGAGAGUGGAAUUCCAUGUGUAGCGGUGAAAUGCGUAGAUAUAUGGAGGAACACCGGUGGCGAAAGCGGCUCUCUGGUCUGUAACUGACGCUGAGGCUCGAAAGCGUGGGGAGCGAACAGG